Non-coding RNA from Salmo salar (Atlantic salmon), 54 nucleotides. Lineage: Eukaryota; Metazoa; Chordata; Actinopteri; Salmoniformes; Salmonidae. The record is from Rfam.
UGUAUUCACUACUGUAAGUCGCUCUGGAUAAGGGCGUCUGCUAAAUGACUAAAA